RNAcentral lists this ribosomal RNA (253 nucleotides) under uncultured bacterium. Its description in RNAcentral is "partial 16S ribosomal RNA". It matches the Rfam family "Bacterial small subunit ribosomal RNA", at positions 524 to 776 of the family's 1533-position model. The record is from RNAcentral.
GACAGAGGCCUCGAGCGUUAGGCGGAAUCACUGGGCUUAAAGGGCGCGUAGGCGGGUGACCAAGUCAGGGGUGAAAUCUUUCGGCCCAACCGGAAAAGUGCCUCUGAUACUGGUCGUCUUGAGGGAGGUAGGGGUCGAGGGAACUGGUGGUGGAGCGGUGAAAUGCGUAGAUAUCACUAGGAACGCCGGUGGCGAAAGCGCUCGACUGGACCUCUUCUGACGCUGAGGCGCGAAAGCCAGGGGAGCAAACGGG